Molecule: ribosomal RNA, 468 nt
Filed under: uncultured bacterium
Lineage: Bacteria
Description: partial 16S ribosomal RNA
Rfam family: Bacterial small subunit ribosomal RNA
Source: RNAcentral
GACGAACGCUGGCGGCGUGCUUAACACAUGCAAGUCGAACGGAAAGGCCCUGCUUUUGUGGGGUGCUCGAGUGGCGAACGGGUGAGUAUCACGUGAGUAACCUGCCCUUGACUUUGGGAUAACUUCAGGAAACUGGGGCUAAUACCGGAUAGGAGCUCCUGCUGCAUGGUGGGGGUUGGAAAGUUUCGGCGGUUGGGGAUGGACUCGCGGCUUAUCAGCUUGUUUGUGAGGUAGUGGCUUACCAAGGCUUUGACGGGUAGCCGGCCUGAGAGGGUGACCGGCGACAUUGGGACUGAGAUACGGACCAGACUCCUACGGGAGGCAGCAGUGGGGAGUAUUGCACAAUGGGCGGAAGCCUGAUGCAGCAACGCCGCGUGCGGGAUGACGGCCUUCGGGUUGUAAACCGAUUUCGACUGUGACGAAGCGUGAGUGACGGUAAUGGGUAAAGAAGCACCGGCUAACUACGUG